CCUACGGGAGGCAGCAGUGGGGAAUAUUGCGCAAUGGGCGAAAGCCUGACGCAGCGACGCCGCGUGAGGGAUGAAGGUCUUCGGAUCGUAAACCUCUGUCAGCAGGGAAGAACGGUCACUGUGCUAAUCAUCAGUGAAUUGACGGUACCUGCUAAGGAAGCACCGGCUAACUCCGUGCCAGCAGCCGCGGUAAUACGGAGGGUGCGAGCGUUAACCGGAGGUAUUGGGCGUAAAGCGCUCGUAGGCGGUAUGUCAAGUCAAGGGUGAAAUCCCCGCGGUAAACGUGGGAGCUGCCUUUGAAACUGGAAAACUGGAGUGUGUGAGGGAAUAGUGGAAUUCGAGGUGUGGGGGUGA
RNAcentral lists this ribosomal RNA (354 nucleotides) under uncultured bacterium. RNAcentral describes it as "partial 16S ribosomal RNA". It matches the Rfam family "Bacterial small subunit ribosomal RNA", at positions 338 to 684 of the family's 1533-position model. The record is from RNAcentral.